AUUGCUGAUUUGGUAACCACCUCAGAGAACAUCCUAUUUAUUUCCAGCAAGGACCUAAAUCCACUUCAGCCAAAAAUGAACAAAGAAAUCAUGAUGAAGAACAGAGCCUGUUUCUUUCUCAGUGGUGUGCUCAGAAAAUAGGAUACGAAGUAGAAGAUGAUCCUCGAGGCUCGUGAAGGUGGGUGCUUUCUGAAAGUGAAGUCAGCAGCCAAGAACCACCCUUCAGAAGAUAAAAGAACGAGCAGCUACGUGAGUGACGGUCACAGCAACACGUGGGUCCUGUCUGUCCACGCAGUCCUCCCCGUCCUCCUGUAGCUUGCCAGGUUUCCUGCCCACACUGGGGAAAUUCCAGCUGCCAGCCCUCUUUGGGGUGUAUCUCCCCUUUUUGCACAGGGCUCUAUUGGGAAGGCAGCUGUCUUGUGUCUGUUUGAAAGACAAGAAAUCAACCUAGUUAUAGAAAUGAGAUUUAGAUUACAUCAGAAAAACAAUGCAAAUCAUUUGUUUGUGCAGUUCUUAGUACAGAAAACAGAUUUAGAAACACAAAUUGAGAGGGUUAAAGAAAGUGUUUUUUUCUUUUGUCAUCAAAGUUGGUUUUUAAAAACAUGUCACAAAACGAAAACACAUCUGUAGUCAGAUAAAUACUUGUGUGCUGACUUCAUCAACAGAAUGGAUGACUGAAUUCACACAAUGUUAUUUACUGUUUCAGGGCACACAUUCGUGGUUGCCAAGUGGUCUCUUGCCACUUUGGCCUUCAGCUGGUCUUGCUAUUUUCCAUUGUGGAGUGUCUGAUUGUCUCCACCACAACCCUGAGUCUAAGCAAAAGCCCAUGGGUCGGCUGCCCUGUGUUCCUGUUGUCCCUGGGAGUGGAUAGACUGGCAGAUGUUGGGGGAGCGGGGAAAAUGCUCAUAAACACUUUAUUUGUUGUAAUAACUCCAGUUGGGAUGUGGCUUCCAAUCAUGAGAGAAGGACUGCUUUAGAAAAGGAAUCUUUUUAUAAUAAUACCAAUAAAACAAAGACUGUUAUUCUGAACAGUUAACAAGAAACACAGCUGGAGCUAUUUCCUAUCCACCUGAUGAAGGGCACUACCAGGCGGUCACUCUGGCUCUGUCCAUCGAAGCCUGUGCCCACUUGGUGCAAUGUAGCUUCCAUGGAGACAAGAGCAAUGGUAAUGGAAGAAGAAAGUCUGGAUGUACUCAUGCAGAAAGAGAAAGCUUCAUGGAGCAAUAUUAAUCUUCUGGUCAUCUCUGUGCCAGUCUAGUGGACCAUAGAGUUGUCGGAUUGACUUUGGUUUCCAAGGAAGUCUACUGACAUGAGACCCAGGGAAGAUAGUUUUUGGAAGGGGCAAGG
Long non-coding RNA from Cebus imitator (Panamanian white-faced capuchin), 1347 nucleotides. RefSeq lists it as uncharacterized. The record is from RefSeq and is a predicted model, not a curated record. Lineage: Eukaryota; Metazoa; Chordata; Mammalia; Primates; Cebidae. The transcript has 3 exons.